Non-coding RNA from Mycena epipterygia, 90 nucleotides. The record is from the annotation of a GenBank genome assembly. NCBI's taxonomy places the organism in Eukaryota, Fungi, Basidiomycota, Agaricomycetes, Agaricales, Mycenaceae.
GUCCUCGUGGAGUAAUGCAGCUCGCUCCAACCUAAUAGAUGAGGAGCCAGCUUUUAGGUAGAGAAGGUGGUUCGAGUCCACUCGAGGACA